This 655-nucleotide ribosomal RNA is filed under the name Salmonella enterica. Its description in RNAcentral is "partial 23S ribosomal RNA". It matches the Rfam family "Bacterial large subunit ribosomal RNA", at positions 1 to 671 of the family's 2925-position model. The record is from RNAcentral. RNAcentral also lists the same sequence under 1 other name. Lineage: Bacteria; Pseudomonadati; Pseudomonadota; Gammaproteobacteria; Enterobacterales; Enterobacteriaceae.
GGGUUGUGAGGUUAAGCGACUAAGCGUACACGGUGGAUGCCCUGGCAGUCAGAGGCGAUGAAGGGCGUGCUAAUCUGCGAUAAGCGCCGGUAAGGUGAUAUGAACCGUUAUAACCGGCGAUACCCGAAUGGGAAAACCCAGUGUGAUUCGUCACACUAUCAUUAACUGAAUCCAUAGGUUAAUGAGGCGAACCGGGGGAACUGAAACAUCUAAGUACCCCGAGGAAAAGAAAUCAACCGAGAUUCCCCCAGUAGCGGCGAGCGAACGGGGAGGAGCCCAGAGCCUGAAUCAGCAUGUGUGUUAGUGGAAGCGUCUGGAAAGGCGCGCGAUACAGGGUGACAGCCCCGUACACAAAAGCGCAUGUGCUGUGAGCUCGAUGAGUAGGGCGGGACACGUGGUAUCCUGUCUGAAUAUGGGGGGACCAUCCUCCAAGGCUAAAUACUCCUGACUGACCGAUAGUGAACCAGUACCGUGAGGGAAAGGCGAAAAGAACCCCGGCGAGGGGAGUGAAAAAGAACCUGAAACCGUGUACGUACAAGCAGUGGGAGCCCCACCACUAAGCCAGUGGUGAACUCCACAUCCGCAUCCUUUGCUGAGGAUACGGUUAACGGAGCGAAAGCGACGUUCAACCGCAAAACAAGCAGAGGGGGCUUAG